CCCAUUCUCACUCCAAAGGCGUCAAAAACCGAAGCAUGGUCAAGCGCCCCUAGCGUCACUUUUAUGACGCCAAAUGUGCCUCUCGGCGUCGACUAUCGAAGCACUACGACCUUCAUUGCUUUCAGUGGGAAACUUUUGGCGUCAGAAUUCGACACGAGGACAUGAGAUGUUUAUCGCUAUGAAAUCACGUUCAAGAAGUCUCAUUCAGCACACAUCGCGCGAUACUUGCUAUCAGUUCCACAGUUUGGCUGAAAAGACGUAAAGGCAGUCAGCCCAGUGGUGUUUCUGGAGAGGGAUUCCUUCAGAAAUGGAGAAGACAGAAAGCUGCGGAGGCAGAUAUUUGCAGCAUGUUCGAGUGAGCAUGAUGACCACAAGUGUGUGUCAAACUUUUCAUGACCUGAUGACUGUGUUUCCCAAUCCUGAUCCUGGAGAACCCCAGCACUGCACGGUUUUGGCGUCUCUCUUAUCUGCCUUGGAGUCUUCACUGAUGAGCUGAUGAGUUGAAUCAGGUGUGUUUGAUCAGGGAGACAUCUCAAAUGUGCAGUGUUGGGGUUCUCCAGGACCAGGAUUGGGAGCCACUGCCUUAUGGGACACUUAUGUGUUUAAAGAGAUUUUUAAUAUCUAAUUAUCAAUAUUUCACAUACUGUACAUUGGACAGCUUUCCAUGACCUCUUGUGAGAUCUCGGCAAAAAGUCUGACGAUUUAUUCCAAAACAUGAUGCAUGAUGGGAUACACUAAGCUUUGUAUAGCGCUCCGGAGCAGUAUUGGAGAGGUUUAGUGUGUGUUAAGGACGCUGUGCUUUGGCAUUAUUAAGACCGGGGACAGUCUUGUGCACACACUGUCACGUACACACACUCUCAAGUGGCCAAGACUGCAAGUGUGGGUAUCUGGACAGGGUCAAAGUCUUAAAAAUGAUCCCUAAACACAUCACAGUCUUAAUAAUCCAGUUUAACACUUGUAUGAUAUUGUACAAGCCCCAGGACGGUCUCAUCUGACACUAUCAAAAGAAUUCAUAUGACUAUAGCUUGUUAUUAAUUACUUGCUUUCAAUAAUGGAUUCAUUUAACAUUUAAUUAUACAGCAUCUUUACAGAGGUGUAAUGUACAAGCUGCACGUAAUUAAUAAUAUGUCCUUCCUUCUGUCUUACAGGAUUUUUUCCAGAUAAUGCUGUUCUUCUUUUUCAGGUCUAAAAUAUCGAGCUCAACAGCUAUUUUAAGAGCCAACCCUCACAAACCUUCCUAAAACCUAAAAGAGCUAUUACUGAGUCUCAGCGAAUCUUGCCAUGAUCACCUCU
Carassius gibelio (silver crucian carp) is the source of this 1293-nucleotide long non-coding RNA. RefSeq lists it as uncharacterized. NCBI's taxonomy places the organism in Eukaryota, Metazoa, Chordata, Actinopteri, Cypriniformes, Cyprinidae. The record is from RefSeq and is a predicted model, not a curated record. The transcript has 3 exons.